AGCGUAGACGGUGUGGCAAGUCUGAUGUGAAAGGCAUGGGCUCAACCUGUGGACUGCAUUGGAAACUGUCAUACUUGAGUGCCGGAGGGGUAAGCGGAAUUCCUAGUGUAGCGGUGAAAUGCGUAGAUAUUAGGAAGAACACCAGUGGCGAAGGCGGCUUACUGGACGGUAACUGACGUUGAGGCUCGAAAGCGUGGGAGCAAACA
RNAcentral lists this ribosomal RNA (206 nucleotides) under uncultured bacterium. RNAcentral's name for it is "partial 16S ribosomal RNA". It matches the Rfam family "Bacterial small subunit ribosomal RNA", at positions 568 to 774 of the family's 1533-position model. The record is from RNAcentral.